UAUAAAUAAAAAAGAGAAAAUAAAAGACCUUAUCCUCUCUCUCUCUUCUCCUCUGUUUUCUCUGCUUCUCUCUCUAAUUCUCUUUUCAAGCUCUCCUCAAUGGCGUCUCAGAUCUAAGCCUUUUUCUUAUUGUUUAUUAUUCGAAUACCUUGGUGUGUUUUUGAGGAACCUUCGACUGCUUUCCAAAGCUGCGGCAUUUUUUUAGCCACCUCAAGGGAAGGGAACAAACCGAAAUUAGGGCAACAAUUUUGUGACUUUGUGAUAUGCUGAGAAUGGCGAGUACGUUUCCAGAGGAUGUGUUGGAGCAUGUGUUUUCUUUUAUACAGUGUCAUCAAGACAGGAACUCCAUUUCUAUGGUCUGUAAGUCUUGGUAUGAGAUUGAGAGAUGGUGUAGGAAGAGGGUUUUUGUUGGGAACUGCUAUGCCGUCAGUCCUCAAAUUGUUAUCAGGCGGUUUCCGGAUGUGAGAUCUGUCGAGUUGAAAGGGAAGCCCCACUUUGCGGAUUUUAGUUUGGUGCCUGAUGGUUGGGGUGGCUAUGUUUAUCCAUGGAUCCUCGCUAUGGCUUCUGCCUAUCCUUUGUUGGAAGAGAUCAGGUUGAAGAGAAUGGUGGUUACGGAUGAGAGUUUGGAGCUCAUUUCCAAGUCUUUUAAGAAUUUUAAGGUUCUUGUCUUGAUGACUUGUGAAGGCUUCAGUACUGAUGGGCUUGCCGCCAUUGCUGCUAAUUGCAGGCAUUUGAAAGUAUUGGACUUGCGAGAGAGUGAUGUGGAAGAUCUGAAUGGGCAUUGGCUCAGCCAUUUUCCUGAUACAUAUACGUCAUUGGUAUCUCUCAAUAUUGCUUGUUUGGUCUCUGAGGUGAGUGUUUCUGCACUGGAGCGUCUAGUGGACAGGUGUCCAAACUUACGGACACUGCGUCUCAAUCGUCCAGUUCCCCUUGAUAGGCAUGCCAACCUACUUCGUCGUGCACCUCAGCUGGUUGAGUUUGGUGCUGGAUGCUAUACUGCUGAUUUGAGAUCUGAAGUUUUUUCGAGCUUAACUGGGGCAUUUACGAGCUGCACCGAAUUGAAGAGUCUGUCAGGAUUUUGGGAUGUUGUCCCUGCAUACCUUCCUUCCGUUUAUCCAACAUGCUCUCAGCUAACGUCCUUAAACUUAAGCUAUGCUACAAUUCAAUGUGACGAUCUUACAAAGCUUGUCAGUCAAUGUCAUAAUUUGCAGAAGCUUUGGGUGCUGGAUUUCAUUGAGGAUUCUGGCCUUGAAGCUGUUGCAGUUACCUGCAAAGAUCUUCGAGAAUUAAGAGUGUUUCCAUCCGAACCAUAUGGGCUGGAACCAAAUGUGUCUUUGACAGAACAGGGCCUUGUCUCUGUAUCUGAAGGUUGCCCAAAGCUCCAAUCUGUUCUGUACUUUUGUCGUCAAAUGACGAAUGCUGCCUUAGUGACCAUUGCCAGGAAUCGUCCAAACAUGACCAGAUUUCGUCUAUGUAUUCUGGAGCCAUGGACUCCUGAUUACGUUACGGGUCAGGCACUUGAUGUAGGUUUUGGUGCCAUUGUUGAGUAUUGCAAAGAUCUCCAGCGCUUUUCCCUUUCUGGCCUUCUUACAGAUAGAUGUUUCGAAUAUAUUGGAACUUAUGGUAAGAAGCUAGAGAUGUUAUCUGUGGCAUUUGCAGGCGAGAGUGAUUUAGGUCUUCAUCAUGUGUUGUCUGGAUGUGAUAGUCUUCGCAAGCUGGAGAUCAGGGACUGUCCUUUUGGUGAUAAAGCUCUUUUAGCCAAUGCUGCAAAGCUCGAGACAAUGCGAUCCCUUUGGAUGUCCUCUUGCUCAGUGAGUUUUGGAGCAUGCAAAUUGUUAGCUCAGAAGUUUCCCCAACUCAAUGUCGAAGUUAUAGAUGAGAGGGAUCCUCCAAAUACCAGGCCCGAAAGUUGUCCUGUGGAGAGGCUUUAUAUAUACCGAAGUGUCGCUGGGCGUCGGUUAGAUAUGCCUGGUUUUGUGUGGACAAUGGAUGGAGAUGCUCCUCUAAGGCUUACUUGAUUCAACUCUCCACCAAACCGAGGAUCGAAACCUAGUAAGUGAAGGCUCACAUAAUGGGAAUGGAGCUGGUAGUAGAGGCAGAGGGAAACUCCAUUGCCAUUCAUUUUAUACUUUGGCUGUGAGCUGUGGGGGGAUGGAUAAACAAGCAUUUAGUGAUCAAUAAAAAAGAUAGCAAAGUUUCUUCUUCCUUUUUUUUUUUUUCAUCAUUGUAUUGUAGUACCCAAACAGAUUUAUGGUGAAUUUGCAAAUCACCCUGUAUACUAUGGGCAGAAUAUUUUGCUUGCAUGUUAAUUAUUAUUAGACAUUCAUUUCAGAUUUCAUCUGAACUUAGUUCUUGUCCUCUAAAUCCAUUCCUGGUUUCUCA
RNA transcript from Cucumis sativus (cucumber), 2382 nucleotides. It is a transcript of the gene named protein TRANSPORT INHIBITOR RESPONSE 1-like, with no coding region annotated. NCBI's taxonomy places the organism in Eukaryota, Viridiplantae, Streptophyta, Magnoliopsida, Cucurbitales, Cucurbitaceae. The transcript has 4 exons. The record is from RefSeq and is marked provisional.